This 253-nucleotide ribosomal RNA is filed under the name uncultured bacterium. RNAcentral describes it as "partial 16S ribosomal RNA". It matches the Rfam family "Bacterial small subunit ribosomal RNA", at positions 524 to 776 of the family's 1533-position model. The record is from RNAcentral.
UACGGAGGGAGCUAGCGUUGUUCGGAAUUACUGGGCGUAAAGCGCACGUAGGCGGCUUUGUAAGUUAGAGGUGAAAGCCUGGAGCUCAACUCCAGAAUUGCCUUUGAUACUGCAUGGCUUGAAUCCAGGAGAGGUGAGUGGAAUUCCGAGUGUAGAGGUGAAAUUCGUAGAUAUUCGGAAGAACACCAGUGGCGAAGGCGGCUCACUGGACUGGUAUUGACGCUGAGGUGCGAAAGCGUGGGGAGCAAACAGG